RNAcentral lists this ribosomal RNA (211 nucleotides) under uncultured Lactobacillus sp. RNAcentral's name for it is "partial 16S ribosomal RNA". It matches the Rfam family "Bacterial small subunit ribosomal RNA", at positions 152 to 355 of the family's 1533-position model. Lineage: Bacteria; Bacillati; Bacillota; Bacilli; Lactobacillales; Lactobacillaceae. The record is from RNAcentral.
GGAAACAGAUGCUAAUACCGGAUAACAACAGAUGAUGCCUAUCAACUGUUUAAAAGAUGGUUCUGCUAUCACUCUUGGAUGGACCUGCGGUGCAUUAGCUAGUUUGUAGGGUAACGGCCUACCAAGGCGAUGAUGCAUAGCCGAGUUGAGAGACUGAUCGGCCACAUUGGGACUGAGACACGGCCCAAACUCCUAACGGGAGGCAGCAGCU